GAUGAACGCUGGCGGCGUGCCUAAUACAUGCAAGUCGAGCGAACAGAUAAGGAGCUUGCUCCUUUGACGUUAGCGGCGGACGGGUGAGUAACACGUGGGUAACCUACCUAUAAGACUGGGAUAACUUCGGGAAACCGGAGCUAAUACCGGAUAACAUUUGGAACCGCAUGGCUCUAAAGUGAAAGAUGGUUUUGCUAUCACUUAUAGAUGGACCCGCGCCGUAUUAGCUAGUUGGUAAGGUAACGGCUUACCAAGGCGACGAUACGUAGCCGACCUGAGAGGGUGAUCGGCCACACUGGAACUGAGACACGGUCCAGACUCCUACGGGAGGCAGCAGUAGGGAAUCUUCCGCAAUAGGCGAAAGCCUGACGGAGCAACGCCGCGUGAGUGAUGAAGGGUUUCGGCUCGUAAAACUCUGUUAUUAGGGAAGAACAAAUGUGUAAGUAACUGUGCACGUCUUGACGGUACCUAAUCAGAAAGCCACGGCUAACUACGUG
Molecule: ribosomal RNA, 497 nt
Filed under: uncultured bacterium
Lineage: Bacteria
Description: partial 16S ribosomal RNA
Rfam family: Bacterial small subunit ribosomal RNA
Source: RNAcentral